This 269-nucleotide ribosomal RNA is filed under the name uncultured prokaryote. RNAcentral describes it as "partial 16S ribosomal RNA". It matches the Rfam family "Bacterial small subunit ribosomal RNA", at positions 524 to 792 of the family's 1533-position model. The record is from RNAcentral.
UACGGAGGGUGCGAGCGUUAAUCGGAAUUACUGGGCGUAAAGCGCGCGUAGGCGGUCUGAUCAGCCGGUUGUGAAAGCCCCGGGCUCAACCAGGGAACGGCAUCCGGAACUGUCAGGCUAGAGUGCAGGAGAGGAAGGUAGAAUUCCCGGUGUAGCGGUGAAAUGCGUAGAGAUCGGGAGGAAUACCAGUGGCGAAGGCGGCCUUCUGGACUGACACUGACGCUGAGGUGCGAAAGCGUGGGUAGCAAACAGGAUUAGAUACCCUGGUA